UGAUGAAAUAUUUGCUCAUGA
This 21-nucleotide small nucleolar RNA is filed under the name Schizosaccharomyces osmophilus. RNAcentral describes it as "small nucleolar RNA U24". Lineage: Eukaryota; Fungi; Ascomycota; Schizosaccharomycetes; Schizosaccharomycetales; Schizosaccharomycetaceae. The record is from RNAcentral.